AUAACCGAGAAGCGGGGAUGACGUCAAGUCCUCAUGGCCCUUACAUCCCGGGCUACACGCGUGCUACAAUGGCAGGUACAGAGGGCUGCGAAGCCGCGAGGUGGAGCGAAUCCCAGAAAACCUGUCUCAGUCCGGAUUGAAGUCUGCAACUCGACUUCAUGAAGGCGGAAUCGCUAGUAACCGCGAAUCAGCAGGUCGCGGUCGAAUACGUUCCCGGGCCUU
This 222-nucleotide ribosomal RNA is filed under the name uncultured Latescibacterota bacterium. RNAcentral describes it as "uncultured Latescibacteria bacterium partial 16S ribosomal RNA". It matches the Rfam family "Bacterial small subunit ribosomal RNA", at positions 1158 to 1382 of the family's 1533-position model. Lineage: Bacteria; Pseudomonadati; Candidatus Latescibacterota. The record is from RNAcentral.